This 276-nucleotide ribosomal RNA is filed under the name uncultured bacterium. RNAcentral's name for it is "partial 16S ribosomal RNA". It matches the Rfam family "Bacterial small subunit ribosomal RNA", at positions 82 to 354 of the family's 1533-position model. The record is from RNAcentral.
CUCCCGCCGGCGACCGGCGCACGGGUGAGUAACACGUAUGAAACCUGCCCGUAGCAGGGGGAUAAGCGGAAGAAAUUCCGUCUAAUACCGCGUAACAACCCGAGGAGGCAUCUCCUCGGGUUUAAAGGAAGCGAUUCCGGCUACGGAUGGUCAUGCGUCGCAUUAGCUUGUUGGCGGGGUAACGGCCCACCAAGGCGACGAUGCGUAGGGGUUCUGAGAGGAAGGUCCCCCACACUGGUACUGAGACACGGACCAGACUCCUACGGAAGGCAGCAG